This 83-nucleotide transfer RNA is filed under the name Termitomyces sp. J132. It matches the Rfam family "tRNA". From Rfam's summary of the family: Transfer RNA (tRNA) molecules are approximately 80 nucleotides in length. Their secondary structure includes four short double-helical elements and three loops (D, anti-codon, and T loops). The record is from Rfam by way of RNAcentral. RNAcentral also lists the same sequence under 1 other name. Lineage: Eukaryota; Fungi; Basidiomycota; Agaricomycetes; Agaricales; Lyophyllaceae.
GGCGCUGUAGUGUAGAGGUUAUCACUCGAGAUUUUGACCCCCACCCAAUUCUCGAAACCCAGGUUCGAGUCCUGGCAGUGCCU